CCUUCUUCUUCCCAGCCUCAACCUUAUCUACCAUCCACCGCGUUCUCUCUCCCUCCUAUGUCCUUUUCCCUUCUCUCUAUUUCUAUCCCAUCUCUCUCAACUGCCGGGAGCGAGGGAUGCAGAUCUGGUGGAGGUUGCAAGUUAGAGCUCCAUGGCUCCCACGUUUGGUGUCAGGAUCCCAUCGGCCCACAACUCUCAAGACCGCUCAUGGGCACCAAAUUUUUGUGCGCCCACUAAUCAGAUUCGGUCGUCUUCGACCUCAACGGCGGUAGAUCCGGCCCCGACGGCGGCGGAUCCGUCUGGUCUACGCUAGCUACACCAUGACACAAGGUGCCUCUCCUGGAGAGGUCAGACGGGCGAUGGCGCGGUGGCGACCCCCAUGCUUGCUUCGUCUUCUCCAACAUCAUUUUCCUGCCGUUGGUCCACUUCUACUUCCGCUCCUCUACGCCCUGCGUGUCUGGCACCACCGCCUCCAACACUCCGCCUCCACUCAAGAAUAUAUCUUACUAUUCUGAUGUUGUUUACAUAGUGUUUUUGUUCCAAAUAUACAUUGAUUUUAAUCUGGUGUGCAUAUUGGUAGGUUUCCUAUUUACCUUGGACUAGAAUCUAUAUAGUUGUGGUUUAGAAUGAAUAAACAUGUUUGAUCUAUUUGUGGCUACUUCAUUGGAACUAGCAAUAUCUGUGAAGAUUUUCUUUUGAUACAUUAUGAGUAGCUGUGAUAAUAUGGUAAUUUAGAUAAUACGUUGAUCUGUUUGUGGGUACUACAUGCUUGUUCAAUGCAGAAAAACAUGAAUGGCGUUAGGGGAGUCAUUGCAUAUACCCAGUAGGAAGCGGACCAUGCUUUUCCUCCACUGACAUUAGUAAAAUCAUCCAGCUUCACAGGCAGUGCACAAUAAUUGCUCUGCAUUUUUUGUUCUCAAGAGAGUCAAAUUGUUUUCCAUCUGCAUAGUUUUUUGUGAUGUUUUAUCGACAGUUAGAGUAACCAUAUUGGUUUGGCUUGUUUCAUUGACCGGAAUUGUUAGUGAUUUGGACAACAGGGACUCACUUUUUUGGUUCUUCCAUAAGUUAACCACACAUUCUUUAUGUUUUUUAGGAUGCCACUUCUGUUAGGACCACCAAAAUCAGGCAAGACUAAUUUGCUGCUUGUGUUGGCUGGAAGGCUUGACAAGUACCUCAAGGAGAGCUGGGUAUCGGUAUGUUAUGAAGAAGAAAAGGGAUGUCUACUGUUUAUAAGCGUUUAUGAAGUUUCAGCAUUUGCUAGACGCAUGGGUUAUCCUUGAGAAGAAGAAUGUGUGGAAGAUGUUUCAGGAUGCAUAGGCAACCUGAGCAUUCUCUCCACUUGAAGAGCAAAUGUUGGCAACAUUCUUCGAAGCUUAUAUUCCGGUGUAUGACGUUCCUGGUUUCUCAAAGACAUUACUUCUAGCAUGUCGAAAUAACAAUCAUGGACACUCGGAAGAAUAUUUUUCCUACUGUGUAUUGCAUUUUCGAAGAUGUGGCUGCGAGCUGGUUAAUGUGACUGACCUAUAGGGGUAUGAAUUGGUCUACAGAAGUUCUUUAUGCAUUUCUUAGCCGGUGGUGGUGGCUGUUAUUAUCAGAUUAGUAACUCACUGACUUGAUGAGGAUUCAAGCACAAAGUUAUUUUAGGAAUA
This is a long non-coding RNA of Sorghum bicolor (sorghum), 1649 nucleotides long. RefSeq lists it as uncharacterized. The transcript is spliced from 4 exons. The record is from RefSeq and is a predicted model, not a curated record. Lineage: Eukaryota; Viridiplantae; Streptophyta; Magnoliopsida; Poales; Poaceae.